RNAcentral lists this ribosomal RNA (471 nucleotides) under uncultured Actinomycetes bacterium. RNAcentral's name for it is "bacterial SSU rRNA". It matches the Rfam family "Bacterial small subunit ribosomal RNA", at positions 28 to 507 of the family's 1533-position model. The record is from RNAcentral. Lineage: Bacteria; Bacillati; Actinomycetota; Actinomycetes.
GACGAACGUUGGCGGUGCGCUUAAUGCAUGCAAGUCGAGGGAGAACCAGUUGAUUCGUAAGAAUCGGUUGGGGAAACCGGCGAACGGGUGCGUAACACGUGAGGAACCUGCCCCGAAGACCGGGAUAGCCCGAGGAAACUCGGAUUAAUACCGGAUACCCUCUUUGGAUCACAUGGUCGAUUGAGGAAAUGGUCCGCCGCUUCGGGAUGGCCUCGCGGCCUAUCAGCUUGUUGGUGAGGUAAUGGCUCACCAAGGCAGAGACGGGUAGCUGGUCUGAGAGGAUGGUCGGCCACACUGGGACUGAGACACGGCCCAGACUCCUACGGGAGGCAGCAGUGGGGAAUUUUGCGCAAUGGGGGCAACCCUGACGCAGCGACGCCGCGUGGGUGAAGAAGGCCUUCGGGUUGUAAAGCCCUGUCUGGGGGGAAGAUAGUGACGGUACCCCCGGAGGAAGCCCCGGCUAACUACGUG